UACGUAGGGGGCAAGCGUUGUCCGGAAUCAUUGGGCGUAAAGCGCGCGUAGGCGGAUCUGCAAGUCGGGGGUGAAAUCCCGAGGCUCAACCUCGGAACUGCCUUCGAUACUGCGGGUCUCGAGUCCGGGAGAGGUGAGUGGAAUUCCUAGUGUAGAGGUGAAAUUCGUAGAUAUUAGGAAGAACACCAGUGGCGAAGGCGGCUCACUGGCCCGGUACUGACGCUGAGGCGCGAAAGCGUGGGGAGCAAACAGG
This 253-nucleotide ribosomal RNA is filed under the name uncultured bacterium. RNAcentral describes it as "partial 16S ribosomal RNA". It matches the Rfam family "Bacterial small subunit ribosomal RNA", at positions 524 to 776 of the family's 1533-position model. The record is from RNAcentral.